Bradysia coprophila is the source of this 408-nucleotide long non-coding RNA. RefSeq lists it as uncharacterized. NCBI's taxonomy places the organism in Eukaryota, Metazoa, Arthropoda, Insecta, Diptera, Sciaridae. The record is from RefSeq and is a predicted model, not a curated record.
UAUUGAAAUUAUAAUCUUAUAUUUGGCUGAUUAGAAAAGCUAACAAAAGUAUCGUUGCAGUGAUAUAGAUUGUUGUUCACACCUACCUCGCUUCAGUCUCCAACGAUACACUUUGUACUGAACACAAGUUUUUUUUUGUGAAUUUUAUUGUUUCCGAAUACCUAAAUUAUGGCUGAUAAAGGAUGUUGUUCUGGAGGAGAAAGCGCCGAGAAAGGUAGCACUGAAAAAUGCUGCAAUCCUCAGAAAGCUUGCUGUGAAGGGUGUAACUGCUCGUGUUGUCAAAAUAAGCAGAGGGAUGAGCCAGGAAAUUGCACUUGUGAAGCAGCCAAUUGUAAAUGUUGUGGGGGUUGCAAAUGCAGUCACAAAUCCGCUGAAUAAAUUGCCAGUUUGAGUUCUAUGAAAAUGUUA